RNAcentral lists this ribosomal RNA (522 nucleotides) under uncultured eukaryote. RNAcentral's name for it is "bacterial SSU rRNA". It matches the Rfam family "Eukaryotic small subunit ribosomal RNA", at positions 16 to 549 of the family's 1831-position model. The record is from RNAcentral.
GCCAUUAGCUUACGCUUGCCUCAAAAAUUAACCCCUUCAUGUCUAAUUAUAAACGCUUCUAUACUGUAAAACUGCAAAUGGCUCAUUAUAUCACUUAUAUUUUCUUUGAUGGUCCUUGCUACUUGGAUAACCGAAUUAAUUCUAAACCUAAUACAUGCAUUAAUCCCCAACUUCAGGAAGGGGUGUAUUUAUUAAAUUGAAACCAAUGCGGGGCAACCCGGAUCCUGGUAAUUCAAAAUAACUUUCGGAUCCACUCCGGCCAAGCCAACAUUCAAGUUUCUGCCCUAUCACCUUUGGAUGGUAGGGUAUUGGCCUACCAUGGCUUUACCGGGAAACGGAUAAUUAGGGUUCGAUUCCGGAGAGGGAGCCUGACAAAUGGCUACCUCAUCGAAGGAAGGCAGCAGGCGCUUAAAUAACCCAACCCUGACCCAGGGAGGUAGGACCAAUAAAUAACAAUGCCGGGCUUUUCUAAGUCGGGCAAUUGAAAAAAGAACAAUUAAAAUCCCUCUUCGAGGAUCAUUG